AGCCUCCUCUUGGUCUAGGCCACAAUUUUCUGGGUAUUAAGCAGCGCUAAUUUCGACGGAGGAUUUUUAUUAGGAGUCUUUAAUAUUUGAUUAUUUAUGAUGCUGCCUAGGGAUCGCUAAUUGGAUAUAUUCUUCUAUUUUAUGUAUCAAGCUUUGCGAUACUUGUGCUUGUGACUCACUUCGAUUUUAUAGUUUUUUAAUCAAAUAAUUUUCCCCACGGAAAACAGCUGCAUAAUCAUGUAUAGAGUUUUUUUGUAAAAAUUAUUUUAAAUCAAUUUAACAAUCUCUUAUUCAUAGGCCGUUUACAACGAAAUUAGAUAAAUACCGCAAUAAUACAUUAUGCGGUCGCGGGGCCCGCGUUUACUUAAAUUAAUUGCACAACUUUCGGCAGCGUGUUUAGCGGUCCCAGCAAAAUGUCCAAUAAAAUAUUCAUUUAGCCCAAAUAGGCGCCAGAGUUACUGCCAGCCAUACCUGUUCGCAUCCCCCAGCCAGAAUUCCACACAAAUAAUUUCUUGAUGUGACUUUAUGAAAAGUUUCGGGGCCCGAAACAAAAAUGCGAAAAGCCGCUACCCUCGAGCCAGAACCAAAGACAUCGAAGAAGGAAAAGUGGUGGAAAUGAGUAACGAUGACUGGCUACGGUUUAUAGUCGAAUAGCACAUCAGCCGCAACACAGUUUGACCGCAAGUCCUUUGCCCGAAAUUGUCCUCGUACGGGUGUAUCUUUGUGUGUACAAAGUAUUGGUCGUGAUCGAUAAAUGUGUGUUCACUGAGCGGAAAUAACAGGCACCCAGAGCAAGUUAAGAGUUUGGACAAGCUACCUUGUUUCGAAUAAUCCAUAAUGAUGGUGUAUAACGUGAUACCUUUAAAGUUCUUACUUACGUCGGGAUUCAAACAACAAAAUAUAUAUUUAAUUUUUAUUUAAAAAGUUGUAAGUAUCAGGUAUCAUUACGUUGGUGUUUUUACGAAAUUGAAAAAAUGGCGUUCGCCUGAAUUUCCUGGACUUACUGGAGGGCUUUUAGGAUUUUCAGUUGUGAUUUAAUUACUUUGGGGAUUAUGGGGAUUUCGUGUUUAGCAUUUGAUUUAAUUGGAUAUCAAUUACGCAGAGCGUGUUAAAAACCCCAAAUGCAAACACAACGGUAGAGCACACAGUGCUGGCAGUUGAGAGGCGAAUUGAGUGUCAAAUACAUUCUGGCAUAGCCAGUGCCAUAAUUUAUG
Drosophila ananassae is the source of this 1214-nucleotide long non-coding RNA. RefSeq lists it as uncharacterized. The transcript is spliced from 3 exons. The record is from RefSeq and is a predicted model, not a curated record. NCBI's taxonomy places the organism in Eukaryota, Metazoa, Arthropoda, Insecta, Diptera, Drosophilidae.